Molecule: ribosomal RNA, 253 nt
Filed under: uncultured bacterium
Lineage: Bacteria
Description: partial 16S ribosomal RNA
Rfam family: Bacterial small subunit ribosomal RNA
Source: RNAcentral
UACAGGGGGUGCAAACGUUGCUCGGAAUCAUUGGGCGUAAAGCGCACGUAGGCGGUUCGUUAUGUCGGAUGUGAAAGCCCUUGGCUUAACCGAGGAAGUGCAUCCGAAACUGGCGAGCUAGAGUACUAAAGAGGAUCGCGGAAUUCCCGGUGUAGAGGUGAAAUUCGUAGAUAUCGGGAGGAACACCAGUGGCGAAGGCGGCGAUCUGGGAAGAUACUGACGCUCAGGCACGAAAGCGUGGGGAGCAAACAGG